Molecule: ribosomal RNA, 468 nt
Filed under: uncultured bacterium
Lineage: Bacteria
Description: partial 16S ribosomal RNA
Rfam family: Bacterial small subunit ribosomal RNA
Source: RNAcentral
GACGAACGCUGGCGGCGUGCUUAACACAUGCAAGUCGAACGGAAAGGCCCUGCUUUUGUGGGGUGCUCGAGUGGCGAACGGGUGAGUAACACGUGAGUAACCUGCCCUUGACUUUGGGAUAACUCCAGGAAACUGGGGCUAAUACCGGAUAGGAGCUCCUGCUGCAUGGGGGGGGUUGGAAAGAUUCGGCGGUUGGGGAUGGACUCGCGGCUUAUCAGCUUGUUGGGGGGGUAGGGGCUUACCAAGGCUUUGACGGGUAGCCGGCCUGAGAGGGUGACCGGCCACCAUGGGCCUGCGGUACGGCGCAGAAUCCAACGGGACGCAGCGGUCGGGAAUCUUGCGCAAUGGCCGGAAGCCUGAUGCAGCAACGCCGCGUGCGGGAUGCCGGCUUUCUGGUUGUAAACCGCUUUCGCCUGUGACGAAGCGGGAGUGACGGUAAUGGGUAAAGAAGCACCGGCUAACUACGUG